Molecule: ribosomal RNA, 399 nt
Filed under: uncultured bacterium
Lineage: Bacteria
Description: bacterial SSU rRNA
Rfam family: Bacterial small subunit ribosomal RNA
Source: RNAcentral
UAUUGCGCAAUGGGCGAAAGCCUGACGCAGCCACGCCGCGUGGGUGAUGAAGGCCUUCGGGUUGUAAAGCCCUGUCGUGAGGGAAGAACACAAUGACGGUACCUCACAAGAAAGCACCGGCCAACUCCGUGCCAGCAGCCGCGGUAAUACGGAGGGUGCGAGCGUUGCUCGGAAUCACUGGGCGUAAAGCGUACGCAGGCGGAUCGUUAAGUCGGGUGUGAAAGCCCGGGGCUCAACCCCGGAACUGCAUUCGAAACUAGCGGUCUUGAGUACGGGAGAGGGAGGUGGAAUUCCUGGUGUAGAGGUGAAAUUCGUAGAUAUCAGGAGGAACACCGGUGGCGAAAGCGGCCUCCUGGCCCGAUACUGACGCUCAUGUACGAGAGCGUGGGGAGCAAACAG